AACAUCUUUAUGGAAGCUGGACACCAAUGAACACAGCAACAUAUGUUUAUGAACAUCAGCACACAGGAACCUUACUGGGUCAGAAGAAUUCCAAGCAGCAAAAGGAUGCAUCAGUCUACCUUGUGGGAAGGGAAUGUGCGAAGUUCACCCGCAAGAGGAAGAGCACAGUUUAUGCAGUAGAAAAAGUGAUGCAGUUACCCUGCCUGCAACAGUGCAAGUCACAAGAGAUACAAGACCUGUGAGGGGAAGAUGAGCUUGUAAAAAUAUUCCAGUAUCAUGUCAAGGUGUAGGCCAAGAACUGCAAGCUCUCAUCCUUAGAGGAGUCAGAAAGGACAUGUCUCUGUUCCACAGUCAAAUGACCGGUCAUCACACAGUCUGUUCUCUGGGAGGUCUGCUUUAAUACCAGCAGGUAGAAUGGGCAGUCACUCUCUUUGUGUUUCCAUGACUGCUUGCACAACAUCGACGUCACAGCUGCUGUAGUGGCGACAUGCACUGAAACCACUGUAGUGCAGAAAUCAAGAUGGAACUGAGCUCAAGUCUCCAUUCUACUAAUUACUUACAUGAGGCUUUCCAGCAAGCUGCUCAAAGUGAGACAGGGGAGGCCAAGAAGGCUCUGUCCAACCCAAGAACUGUGAUACAAACAGAAAAGAUGUGGGGCUGGAUCAGCAGGAGAGCUCAAGGAGCUGCCAUGCACCCCACCACCACAUGGGGAGUCACCUGGAGUGGAGAACAAGAAGUGGCUGGGGCUUCAGCUGCUCCCCUCAGGGACCUCAGGACAGGCUGGUUUCACACUCUGGACUCUGACAGGCUCUCCCCAGGCAUGACUUACAAGCUCUUGUUCACACCAACUUUCCAACAAAUACUUCUUUCUUCCGGACCCAAGAUCCUCCCAGGUAAGAAAUUUAUCUCAUUUGUUUCCAUUUUACAGUCUCUGAGCCUGGCUUGGUAGGGAAAGAAAGGAAGGAAGGGAGGGACGAAAGGGACCACUGCUGAGUAAGGUCAAGGGCAAUAGUGCAA
RNAcentral lists this long non-coding RNA (1017 nucleotides) under Chinchilla lanigera (long-tailed chinchilla). RNAcentral describes it as "lncRNA (ENSCLAG00000022838.1)". The record is from RNAcentral. Lineage: Eukaryota; Metazoa; Chordata; Mammalia; Rodentia; Chinchillidae.